AUGCUGCCUUAUCUUGCUGAUGGUUUCAUGGACAAUAAAAGGAAAGAAGGUUACAAAAUGGACAUUACCCAGAUGUCAGGCUUGAAGCUUCAUAAAGUAACUGAACAGAAUUUGGAAAACAAUACUCUUCUAGGGAGUGUAAUAUGUACCUUCUUUGACAAAUCACACUUGGGCCAGUCUGCAGGAUGGGCAGAAGCACUCCUGGCUGCUCUUGUAAAGAACCGGAUCUAA
This 231-nucleotide long non-coding RNA is filed under the name Papio anubis (olive baboon). RNAcentral's name for it is "lncRNA (ENSPANG00000047162.1)". The record is from RNAcentral. Lineage: Eukaryota; Metazoa; Chordata; Mammalia; Primates; Cercopithecidae.